GACCCGUUAGCUCAGUUGGUAGAGCAUCUGACUUUUAAUCAGAGGGUCGAAGGUUCGAAUCCUUCACGGGUCACCA
RNAcentral lists this transfer RNA (76 nucleotides) under Desulfurispirillum alkaliphilum. RNAcentral's name for it is "tRNA-Lys". It matches the Rfam family "tRNA". Rfam says of the family: Transfer RNA (tRNA) molecules are approximately 80 nucleotides in length. Their secondary structure includes four short double-helical elements and three loops (D, anti-codon, and T loops). Further hydrogen bonds mediate the characteristic L-shaped molecular structure. tRNAs have two regions of fundamental functional importance: the anti-codon, which is responsible for specific mRNA codon recognition, and the 3' end, to which the tRNAs corresponding amino acid is attached (by aminoacyl-tRNA synthetases). tRNAs cope with the degeneracy of the genetic code in two manners: having more than one tRNA (with a specific anti-codon) for a particular amino acid; and 'wobble' base-pairing, i.e. permitting non-standard base-pairing at the 3rd anti-codon position. RNAcentral also lists the same sequence under 2 other names. The record is from RNAcentral. Lineage: Bacteria; Pseudomonadati; Chrysiogenota; Chrysiogenia; Chrysiogenales; Chrysiogenaceae.